RNAcentral lists this transfer RNA (76 nucleotides) under Citrobacter koseri. Its description in RNAcentral is "tRNA-Asn". It matches the Rfam family "tRNA". From Rfam's summary of the family: Transfer RNA (tRNA) molecules are approximately 80 nucleotides in length. Their secondary structure includes four short double-helical elements and three loops (D, anti-codon, and T loops). Further hydrogen bonds mediate the characteristic L-shaped molecular structure. tRNAs have two regions of fundamental functional importance: the anti-codon, which is responsible for specific mRNA codon recognition, and the 3' end, to which the tRNAs corresponding amino acid is attached (by aminoacyl-tRNA synthetases). tRNAs cope with the degeneracy of the genetic code in two manners: having more than one tRNA (with a specific anti-codon) for a particular amino acid; and 'wobble' base-pairing, i.e. permitting non-standard base-pairing at the 3rd anti-codon position. Lineage: Bacteria; Pseudomonadati; Pseudomonadota; Gammaproteobacteria; Enterobacterales; Enterobacteriaceae. The record is from RNAcentral. RNAcentral also lists the same sequence under 5 other names.
UCCUCUGUAGUUCAGUCGGUAGAACGGCGGACUGUUGAUCCGUAUGUCACUGGUUCGAGUCCAGUCAGAGGAGCCA